RNAcentral lists this ribosomal RNA (427 nucleotides) under uncultured bacterium. Its description in RNAcentral is "partial 16S ribosomal RNA". It matches the Rfam family "Bacterial small subunit ribosomal RNA", at positions 355 to 774 of the family's 1533-position model. The record is from RNAcentral.
UGGGGAAUAUUGCACAAUGGGCGCAAGCCUGAUGCAGCCAUGCCGCGUGUAUGAAGAAGGCCUUCGGGUUGUAAAGUACUUUCAGCGGGGAGGAAGGUGUUGUGGUUAAUAACCACAGCAAUUGACGUUACCCGCAGAAGAAGCACCGGCUAACUCCGUGCCAGCAGCCGCGGUAAUACGGAGGGUGCAAGGGUUAAUCGGAAUUACUGGGCGUAAAGCGCACGCAGGCGGUCUGUCAAGUCGGAUGUGAAAUCCCCGGGCUCAACCUGGGAACUACAUCCGAAACUGGCAGGCUUGAGUCUUGUAGAGGGGGGUAGAAUUCCAGGUGUAGCGGUGAAAUGCGUAGAGAUCUGGAGGAAUACCGGUGGCGAAGGCGGCCCCCUGGACAAAGACUGACGCUCAGGUGCGAAAGCGUGGGGAGCAAACA